GUGAUGGUCAGUUCCUAGUAAGCAGAGGAAGCUGCAUCUGCUUUCUGAUGAAUUCACGACAAUUCUUAAUAGGAGCUUGUCAUCAAAGCAAUUUAAGAGGGAAAUUCCAAGAGCAUUCUGCUUUGUGUAAUUUGGCUGGCCUCCGUCUGCUAAGGGAAGUCACAGCAGGCUAAUAAUUCCUGCCAGCGACUGAGACAGAGGGAGGCUGAACAGCAGCAGCCUUUGUCCUUGUCUGCCACUCAGUUUUUUUUUUAAUGUCUUUUUUUCGUGCUCUUUGAUAUUUUGCCAGACUUCUGCAAUUAAAUAUAACACACAUUUUUGUCUCGUGCAAUAGCAGACUCAUCCCUUUUUUACUGGUGUAUAUCUACCUCUCAGCUGCUAGCCAGGCAACAAAUUAAAAUUCUCCAAUAUUUGUGACCACAAAUUAAAUCUGAAUGUUCAACAGCUGCUGAAGCUUUCUGUUUGCUUCUCAACUUGACAGACACAGGCUAUCCCUGCUGCUGGAGCUUUGUGAAGUGACAGGGUGCUGACAAGCUACUGGCCUGUUUGGGAUCUCCAGAGACUUCGUCCCUACAAAUCUGGCUGCUGUGAUUAUUUUGGGGCUCAAAGCAGUUUUCCCUGAGGACCAGAGGAACUGUGCCAGCAGAUGUGGUUUGUGCACUCCGCGCAGGCUGCAGGGGGCACCAAUGGGGGGUCUGAACUCCCCGUGGAAUUGGGGAUCCCCCUGCCCUCCCUGAGGCCAGGGGCUGUGGGAGAUGCCGCUGCACAGGGGCUUCAGCAGCAGCGGUGCGGGAGGGCAGAUGUGUCUGAUUGCAGGGCCAGAACCUGAGCCGAGGGUGAUAAAAUGUUUUCCCAGCCUUUUUGGAAACCUGGGCUAAGCUGUGAAGGAGAGGGAGGUGAGAUACCGAGUUAAGUGAGAGGUGAUCUGUCUCGGGGCAGAAGAUGUUUCUGUGUUGGAUUUAUUUAAUUAUGCGUGUUUUGUGAGAGGAGAGAGAAUUCAGGAUGUUCUCAGCUGGGUGCAGGGUGAGCCUUAAUGGUUUCUUCUGGAAGAGUUUUACAGGUUCAGAGGUUUCUGAAUUCACUGGUGUCUUAUGCUCAAUGCAAAAUGCAGGAGAUAUGAAGUCUGUGGUAGCAAGAAGAAAUAUAACGUGAUUUCUGUUAGUCCCAGAAUCCCACUGCCUUAAUAAAACCACAGAAAAAAUGUUUCUACAGGGUGUUUCAAAAAGAUAGACAGACUCAAUUUGACAUCACUGUAUCUUUGAAAUUGGAUCCAUCUUUUUGAAACACUCUGAAUAUUCAGAAGUUGAGAGAAGUGUGAUCUUUCAGGUCUAUCCAUAUACUGCUUCCAUCUCUUGAUGCAAGAGAAAUUUCUGGUUGUGGCAGUAUAGUCUCAUCUCCAGGCUCUUUCAGAAGAUGUCUUUGCAUUGGCAUUAUCCCAAGGCCCUGGAUCGUAGGGACAGACUUGGUGCAGGGAUGGGUAUCCAGCCACAUGGUAAAUACCAUUUUUUUUCCCCAAUUAGCAUAGUGCUGUCUGUGGCCCUUGAGUGAAAGUGGAAGGUCUCAAUCUCCUGUAUUUGAACUUCUUUAGGUCAUCGACACAGUAAAAGAGAGAGAUUCUGUGGCAUAUUUUAACUUUUCUUCCACUGACAUGUCCUAUUUAUUCCACAAACUAUAAAUUAUCUUCCUGCCCACUUCCCUUUAGAGUAUCCUUCAGUAUCAUAAAUACCAUCUAUUUCCUCUUGGGUGGUCUUGUUGAUACAAAUCUAACUAAAUUUUAGAGUAGUUGUUCUCAAUUGGUUUUUAUUUUUUCAAGGCUGCUGCACCUGGAGAGGGACCGAUUUGCUUGAAAGCUUAUUGAUCUUUUUCCCAGCUAGACUAGUGGGUCUAAUAACAUAGGUCUGCCUACAAACCUUAUUUUGGUCAUAUGCUUGGAUACUUGGAAACAAUACUGGUUUGUUAUUUCUUCUGGCAUAAUUUAUGGCUGUCACCAUUAUGCAAAUAUCCCAGCAAUAACUAGUAAUGAUAUGGAGAGAGUUGUGUUGGCCUGUCAGCAAUGUUCCUAAACUUCAUCAGGGAAAAAUAAACAGAAAAUUCUCAGGCAACCGAUGUGCUGGGAGAGACUGCAAUGCAGAUGCAUUUUAUCAUUAUGAAGUUGCCAUGAUACACAAAUUUGUUCAUUCUGGGUCAAAUCUUUCUCUUUUUAUUCCUGUGUGUUCUUAAAUCAGAGAAAUUUGGUGUUAGGGGAGUUCCGGAGCAGUUUGCAGUUACCCUGCAGUCCCGUGGGGUGAAGGGUGCAGACACUCGGGUCUUGUAACGCCAUCAACACAAGUGCCAGUGAUGACUGUAGGAGGCAGUGGCAAUCGUUAGCGUUGAACUGUUAAAUGAGACACUUGGACUGAGGUAACUGAGUUUCUGGCAGCCUGAAGCCAUGGGAGUGACAGAUCCGAGUACCAAAAUGUUACCCGUCAGUCUGCGGCUGUGUCAUAUUAGGAGUUCCAACACUGGCCUCUUUCCUCAUGCUGACUGGGAGAUGAUGGUGGAUCUUGGCAUAUACAGUCCACCAACACCUCUCCAGUGCGUAGGGGACAUGUCCUGCAUAUCUGCAAAAUGGAGCCAUCCGUGUGGUCCUGCUCAGUGACAGCUGAGACUGACAAGUGCAUUUCUUUCUUGCCUCUUGUGGGAGAGGUGGCAGGGAAGCAAGCACGUACUCCUCACUCUCCUUCUUGUCUGCAUUGCCUCUGACUGGUACUAAGGAUACUGCUCUCUCAGCAUGGACCCGGUGCCCCAGGGCAGCAGCAGGGAGGUGAGACUCCAACCUGUACAGCUCCCACCCAAGCUCCUGAGGUCCCUCAUAAGCUCAGGACUUUCCUAUUGCAGCAUAACGUGAGUAAACUGGAGAAGAGAAACCCAGAAGGGCCUGAGCAUCUUAAAGCCCUGUCAGUGCAUGGUGUGACACGAGCUACCAGGCCUGCUGUGGGAGGAAACCACGGCCGCCAUCGUGCCAGCAAUCAGAUUUCUGCUGGGAAGAAAUAGCAAGUGAGCAGGUCAUCUGUGCCAAGGGCCGAACACAGGUUACACACGCAGCCUGGCAGUGCUCGCCUGCCUGAGUCACGAGUCAUGUCUUCUGCAGGUGACAGCAUUACUUGCCUGCCCCAGAUUUGUUUCUGUUGACGUGAAGGUUCAAAGGUGCGUGUUGCUGGUAAGGAACAGAGGAUCAUUUUUGCUUUAGUAUCACAGCACAAAACAAAGAGCAUGAUGAGGAAGCAGAAGCUGACCCCGAAGGGAUGCUUUUUUCCCUCCUCCAUGUUGUAGCUGGGAUAUUUGCUGCAAAAUCAGAAAAUGUGCCUCUUUCUUUUUUUGGAAAGGAUAUACUUAUGUAAUUUGACCUAAUUUUGGUUCUUAAUAACCAACACAGCUCAGCCAGCACUCAAUGGUUGGCUCUAAUGAACCCGCAUAAUACUAUUUGUGGUUCUUUUUGAGGGCAGACCAGUUUGUCUUAGCCCACAAGCCUUAUUUUAAAUAAUCAGAAGCCCCAUUUUUAAGCGCAAAUGUGAUUUUAAAAGUAGUUAUUCUUGCUCAUGAACAUGAUGGGAACUUAAUGCUGAGCCUUUGAGGUGCCAGAGGAAGCACGUUACAAUUACCAGGCAGUUUACUAGUGCCACAGUAAGGUCGUGUUUGAGAGUGACGGGUUUUGUUCUUUUCCAUGUGCUGUUCAGACAAACCCAGCAAGGCUGAAUUAUCACAUGCCCAAUGUCUGUCACCACUCCAGGGCUGAACCUGCUCGUUCAAAAAGUUCACCUUUGGAGCAAACAGAAACCAGAGUUCAGCAACCCCACACCCUUACAUCACUGAGAGUAAGGGAUGGGGCCACAUUUUCUUGCUGUCUUUGCUCCUCUCAAAGUGCUGCUCUGUCACUGCUCAAGUGCAUAAGCUGUCCUGAAAUAAAAUUGUGCUGCUCAAAUACAA
Molecule: long non-coding RNA, 3966 nt
Organism: Columba livia (rock pigeon)
Lineage: Eukaryota; Metazoa; Chordata; Aves; Columbiformes; Columbidae
Exons: 2
Source: RefSeq, a predicted model, not a curated record